AAAUGAGACCAAUGGUAUUAAUGGUCAAAUAGGGUUAGAGAGGAAAGUGGGGCAAAAGAAGAAAAUAGUCAUGAUGUUAAUGGGGCACAUAGGGUAGAUACUGAAGUAGAGACAAGACUUAGAAGAGAUAUUUGAAUAUUACUUUGUCUUGGUUUGGAUGAUGAGGAUGAAGAGAUAAGGAGCAUAUUUAAGAAGUUUGAAACAUUUAGGGAGAAAGUGAAGAACAAGCUGUUGGGGUAGAUGAUCUAUUGCUUGGGGUCAUUCAAGGGGGAAAUACUCGCUGCUGUUGGGAAAGAUGGAAAAAACCAGAUAUUUUCAUUAGUUUGGACAGUUAUGGAGGGUGAGAACAGAAGACUCGGGCUUGGCUCCUUAAUAACUCCAAGAUUAAUCUUGGACUAAGAGAAGGGCAUCACAGUCAUCAGUGAUAAGCAGAAAGGCAAGUUGGAAGAGAUGUUUAUUAAUGAAUGGAAAUGCUUAUUUAAUCAUGUUUAACAUUUAUACGCAGAACAUUUAAUUUGUCUAUUGUUGGCCUUUUUGAAGUUCACUUUCACUUGUUUUGCCCCUGUUUGAUGUUUUAUUGGUUGCAACACUCUAUGUUUACUGUUAUGUUUAAUGGUUUUUUAUGAUUUCCAA
This is a long non-coding RNA of Gossypium arboreum, 633 nucleotides long. RefSeq lists it as uncharacterized. The record is from RefSeq and is a predicted model, not a curated record. The transcript is spliced from 2 exons. Lineage: Eukaryota; Viridiplantae; Streptophyta; Magnoliopsida; Malvales; Malvaceae.